CGACGAACCGGUCGAACGUUAUUCGGAAUCACUGGGCUUAAAGAGUGCGUAGGCGGUCUGGCAGGUGCGGUGUGAAAUCCCUCGGCCCAACCGAGGAACUGCGCUUCAAACCGCCAGGCUUGAGGAAGAUAGAGGUGAGCGGAACAGAUGGCGGAGCGGUGAAAUGCGUUGAUUUCAUCUGGAACACCUGUGGCGAAAGCGGCACACUGGGUCUCAACUGACGCUGAGGCACGAAAGCCAGGGUAGCGAACGGGAUUAGAAACCCCAGUAGUCC
RNAcentral lists this ribosomal RNA (274 nucleotides) under uncultured bacterium. RNAcentral describes it as "partial 16S ribosomal RNA". It matches the Rfam family "Bacterial small subunit ribosomal RNA", at positions 523 to 796 of the family's 1533-position model. The record is from RNAcentral.